This 406-nucleotide ribosomal RNA is filed under the name uncultured bacterium. RNAcentral's name for it is "partial 16S ribosomal RNA". It matches the Rfam family "Bacterial small subunit ribosomal RNA", at positions 34 to 526 of the family's 1533-position model. The record is from RNAcentral.
CUUGCCCGCUGGCGGCAGGCCUAACACAUGCAAGUCGAGCGAGCGGCGGACGGGUGAGUAAUGUCUGGGAAACUGCCUGAUGGAGGGGGAUAACUACUGGAAACGGUAGCUAAUACCGCAUACCAUCAGAUGUGCCCAGAUGGGAUUAUCUGGUAGGUGGGGGACCGUCUCACCUAGGCGACGGUCCCUAGCUGGUUGGAGAGGAUGACCAGCCACACUGGAACUGAGACACGGUCCAGACUCCUAGGGGAGGCAGCAGUGGGGAAUAUUGCACAAUGGGCGCCAGCCUGCUGCAGCCAUGCCGCUUGUGUGAAGAAGGCCUUCGGGUUGUAAAGCACUUUCAGCGGGGAGGCGUUACCCGCAGAAGAAGCACCGGCUAACUCCGUGCCAGCCGCCGCGGUAAUAC